Molecule: non-coding RNA, 28 nt
Filed under: Homo sapiens (human)
Lineage: Eukaryota; Metazoa; Chordata; Mammalia; Primates; Hominidae
Source: RNAcentral
UCCCAGACGAUGGACGGCCAGGCAGAGA